RNAcentral lists this non-coding RNA (207 nucleotides) under Streptomyces nodosus. The record is from RNAcentral. Lineage: Bacteria; Bacillati; Actinomycetota; Actinomycetes; Kitasatosporales; Streptomycetaceae.
AUAGCGUGUCGCCGCCGUGGUGUACGGGAAACCGGUCGAAAGCCGGUGCGGCCCUCGCCACUGUAGCUGCGGAGUUCCGCGGCCCUCGCCGACCGCUCCACGGAGCGGUCGGGGCCACUGGGUGGAUCGGGAACGAGCCGUCCGGGAAGGCCGGCCGUGGAAUGUCGAUGCAGAAGCCAGGAGACCGGUCACGGCGCGACAUGUUCC